GCUUACGGCCACACCGGCCUGAGUACGCCUGAUCUCGUUCUGAUCUCGGAAGCUAAGCAGGGUCGGGCCUGGUUAGUACUUGGAUGGGAGACCGCCUAGGAAUACCAGGUGCUGUAAGCU
This 120-nucleotide ribosomal RNA is filed under the name Oncorhynchus mykiss (rainbow trout). The record is from RNAcentral. Lineage: Eukaryota; Metazoa; Chordata; Actinopteri; Salmoniformes; Salmonidae.